GUCGAUUCCAUCGGCAUUAACAUUCGAUUUCGUAGACCGAAAUCGGUCUCGAUGUCGGCCGAUCAUGUCGGUGUCUUUUAAAUAGGUCGAUUUCGGCUUCGACGUCUGCCGAUAACGUCGGUAUGUCAAUUUUUUGGUGCAAAAGUGAAAAUAUCAGGAUCUUGAUCCUUGCCGUGUGUGAUGGUUUUAGAUUUAUGGUGGAAACCUCGUGCUGCGAAAUCAUCGACCAGCACUGAGUGUUCUGGGCAGGAGGGGCACCCAUGUGGUGAGGAAGUUGUUCUUGUGAUCAUUGGUUCCGGCCCCGGAGGCUGGCUGUUAUUAAAGCUGCCCAGUUGGGGAUGAGGACCGCAAUCAUUGAGAAGAACGACACAUGUGGCGGCACCUGCCUCAAUGUGUGAUGUAUCCCAUCGAAACCUCUCCUCAAUAAUACCCAUGGACAUUGCACAGCUCAUCAAGAAGAGGUGCAUCUCAUUAAGGGAGCAGAAAUCACCCCAU
Long non-coding RNA from Lutzomyia longipalpis, 495 nucleotides. RefSeq lists it as uncharacterized. Lineage: Eukaryota; Metazoa; Arthropoda; Insecta; Diptera; Psychodidae. The transcript has 3 exons. The record is from RefSeq and is a predicted model, not a curated record.